UGCGUAGGCGGCGCGGAAAGUAGGGUGUGAAAUCCCUCGGCUCAACCGAGGAACUGCGCCCUAAACUACCGUGCUCGAGGGAGAUAGAGGUGAGCGGAACUUAGGGUGGAGCGGUGAAAUGCGUUGAUAUCCUAAGGAACACCGGUGGCGAAAGCGGCUCACUGGAUCUCUUCUGACGCUGAGGCACGAAAGCUAGGGUAGCGAACGGGAUUAGAUACCCCGGUAGUCCUAGCCGUAAACGAUGAGCACUGGAUUGGAGGGUCCUCCAUAGCCUUCCAGUCGCAGCGAAAGUGUUAAGUGCUCCGCCUGGGGAGUAUGGUCGCAAGGCUGAA
This 332-nucleotide ribosomal RNA is filed under the name uncultured Pirellula sp. Its description in RNAcentral is "bacterial SSU rRNA". It matches the Rfam family "Bacterial small subunit ribosomal RNA", at positions 568 to 898 of the family's 1533-position model. The record is from RNAcentral. Lineage: Bacteria; Pseudomonadati; Planctomycetota; Planctomycetia; Pirellulales; Pirellulaceae.